Molecule: ribosomal RNA, 475 nt
Filed under: uncultured organism
Description: partial 16S ribosomal RNA
Rfam family: Bacterial small subunit ribosomal RNA
Source: RNAcentral
CACUCCUACGGGAGGCAGCAGUGGGGAAUUUUGGACAAUGGGCGAAAGCCUGAUCCAGCAAUGCCGCGUGUGUGAAGAAGGCCUUCGGGUUGUAAAGCACUUUUGUCCGGAAAGAAAUCCUUGGCUCUAAUACAGUCGGGGGAUGACGGUACCGGAAGAAUAAGCACCGGCUAACUACGUGCCAGCAGCCGCGGUAAUACGUAGGGUGCGAGCGUUAAUCGGAAUUACUGGGCGUAAAGCGUGCGCAGGCGGUUUGCUAAGACCGAUGUGAAAUCCCCGGGCUCAACCUGGGAACUGCAUUGGUGACUGGCAGGCUAGAGUAUGGCAGAGGGGGGUAGAAUUCCACGUGUAGCAGUGAAAUGCGUAGAGAUGUGGAGGAAUACCGAUGGCGAAGGCAGCCCCCUGGGCCAAUACUGACGCUCAUGCACGAAAGCGUGGGGAGCAAACAGGAUUAGAAACCCUUGUAGUCCCAUGA